CCUCAUUCCUGGAUGGGAUUCAAGUACUGCACGGAAGAGAAAACAGCAUGAAGCCUGCUCAGGAAAACCUAUAAUGUAGAAGGAGGAUUUUUAUUCCGUUGUGCUGGGAAUCCUAUCCUGCUUCCACAACCUCCCAAAUAAUCACUGUCCUCAAUUGCCAGAGGGACCAAGGAGUUUUGUUGGAUUGAAACACAAUACAAAUCACUGCCAAGAUGCAGAAGCAGAAAGGCAAAUUUUGCCCUAUGCUGGGUCCUGAGAGAAAUGGAAUUCCUGCCUAGGCCUGGCCCUCUGAAGAGGCAAGGUGCUGCCUCAAGCAGCAGAAGCCCAAGAAGCAGCACCCACGUUGCCUCUGCUGCACCUUCCCGCUCCCUGCUGCAUCUGCUGCCAGUGGAAAAGUGGCACUGGUUUCUGAUGAGAUCUUGCCAGAAGCUGGCACCACUGCUGGUGCUUUGUGGGCGCUGCUGCGUCAUGCAGGUAAGAGAGCUGUGGCGCCAGCAGCGGGGGAGCAGGAGCAGCAAAAUGGAAUGUGCUGUUCCUGUUCCUGUUCCUGCCCUGAGUUAUUCUCACAGUAUUGGAAGGCCAUGAUGAAUUUGUGAAUAUUCCCUUUAUCUAAUCCUUUUCAAACCUUCCCACCGCACUGUCUGGCCUGCUGCUGUAAGAACACAGAAACAACCCUCUUCAGAAUAGCUGGCUGGUGGUAGCAAAGGCUGUGUGAAAUCAGAAAAGGGCCUCAUGUUUUCCCCUGCUUUUACAUGCUCUCUGUUCCCUGUGUUUGUUCCACAUGCCAGCACAAUUCCUCAGGCCCAGGAAGAGGUAUGCUGUCUCUAGCAGGAUUUUAGCUGCUUCGUUCCCUUGGGAGAAGCAUGAUGCUUUCUCACUGUCCUGUCAACACAACAGGGGCACAAGAGAAAGUGUUUGCACAAGCCUCUUGUUAAGCAAUGUAUAAGCCUCUUUCGUUGCAAAUUGCCUCACAGACCCAACAGAAACAAAACAAUCCUUUGGUUAGCUCCUCUGAGUGGACGUUGAAGGAAGGGAAGGAUUGAAAUACAGCAGAUUUUUGAGUUGGUGGUGCCCAGGCUAUCGCUUUACUAUAAUAUUAGAAGACCAAACCAAAUAUUAACUAGCAUUAACCAGUCCUCCACAGAAUGGACGUUGAAGGUGGGGGGAACGUUUUUGUGGCUGUGCAUGAUAUUGGCCUGGCAAUAUCUUGGUACACAGGUAGUAGCGCUUUGGGUUUCAAUAUAGGCAAGUGAACUGGCAGAACUUAACAGCUCUGGGCUACAUAAAUACCUAGACCUUUAAAAAAAACAAAAAACAAGGAUCCUCUGGGACAAAGCAGUAAUGAAGAAUAUCAAACACAAAGGGCCCCAAGAGGUGUCAGGCCCAGUCCUACCAAUAGGAAGAGUGAGGUGGCUGCCUCAGGCAGCUACGGUUGUCAUGAAAGGGCAGCAAAAUGUGAGGUGUUUGAAUGAUUAUUGUAUUUUUACUCCCAGGGAGAAGUGCUUGUGAGCUUUUCUACUUCAGGUGCCAAAAUAACUUGGCCAGCCUUGUAUACUAUGCUCUUUGCCUUAGGGAGGGAAGCCCCAUUUGUUAAUCUACCUCAGGCAGCAAAGUUUCUUGAGUCUUUUCAGAGAGGAACCAGUUCCACAUUGAGGUCCCUGGGAUGGCUGGGGAGGGGGGCAUUUGAAAAGUGCUGAAGAUCAGUAUUAUUGCUAAUCCAAUAAAAUAGGGGUCAGCAACGUGGCACAUGCAGGUGUACGUGUGUCCAACGGUACCUGCUAUGGUGCCCGUGUAAGUCUUAGUAAACAUUCCAUGAAAAAUCCACAGUGUAUGAGAAACUGUUUUCCUACUCAGCUCCUGUUUGCACUGGCUCAGUUUCUUCUACAUUAAACAUGCCCUCUUCAACAUGCCCACAUUUGACUGGAUGCCAGGACUGAAUACCCACCCAUGCAUCAGUUCUGAACCAAGAGGUGAAAGGAGCUUCUCUCUGUGAGUGAACAUGGCUGGUGUAGGUGCCUUCCCCCACUGAUGUCUGCACUUAGGUUGCCAUAUUUCAAGAAGUGAAAAUCUGGGCACAAAAGUUGAGCUUUUCUUUGCAAAAUCUUGAGGGGGGGAUUUAGUUUGUAAGCUAUUUUUUUAGGAGAUUCACCAAAAUCUACACUUCCAACAUGGGCUGCCAUACAUCUGGAUUCACCCACACAUUUUAAAAGCAAUUCUGCCCUGUUUCUGAUGGCCAAAUCCCAGCUGUGUCUGAUGUAUGGCGGCCCUACAUUCACUAGUUAGUGUUCCUGUUCCUGCCUCUUUUUCUGUUCUUUGAUAAGUGGCAGCCAUUUUGUGUUAUGUCAUGGCAGCCAUUUUGUGACUGCCACCCAACAUUUCAAAAGUACCCACUGGCCCCAAACAGUUGGCAAACCCUGUACUAGAAGGAAGCAUUAGGUCUUCUCUGCUAGCAAACAAUGAAAUUGUGCAAUAGAGAGCUUGUUUUAUCUGCAUGUAGUGAAAAGAGGGUUAGGUUAAUAUUAUUUUAUUCAUGUUGUGAGAAGCAGAACAGGCAAAACUGAGAGCUCCCAAUCUAUAACCCACCUCUUUCCCCUGAUUCUCCUUCACAUUACUGAACAAAAACACACAAAAUAUUUUAUUGGCACGACAAGAUUAUCCCUGAACAGGCGCCAAAAUAUAAAGGGUAUAAAGGAAUGAGCUGCUCUGGUUUCUUUCAAAUCUUGACCUACUGCUGUUGGAAUACAACAAUAUGAGGUUUCAAGUUACAUCAAACCCUUCAUUUUUCAGGUGUCACAGUAAAUAAUUACACUGUGCUGCAGCUAUGUAACCAUACACGUUUAAUCACCCAUGCAUCCACACACUUAGCAAAAAUUCACUGCAGUCUAUAUACAAAACCACAGUGCUUGAUUACUAGGGAAGAUACAAAAUAUAUGCAAAUAUUUCCACACAUAAGUACAUCCUUAGAGCAAACAGUUUGGAAAAAGUUAAACAUCGGGUGCUUGCCAUUGUUUUAAUGAUUCAUGAAGCUAAGAAUCUCUUGUUAAUCCACUGUUGUUUAAAUCUGGUCCUGAAUUUCAGUUCUUAGGACUUGUGUUGAAUAUAACUGCAAACGUUUGCAUAUACUGAUACCUUUAGCUGAAACACCCAAAUAUAUUGCAGUAUCUUAUCCUCUCUCACACUUUCUAAUCUGUACCCCGUAAGGAAAUUGGCAGGUUGUUCCUAAUCUUGUAGAAACCGGGGCAGGGAGUCAACUCUUAACUGCUGAAGGGAUCCAUGGGUGAGGAGUGCAGAUGUCUCCCCCCCACUUGCCACUUUCCUCCUGUCAGCACUGGAUGUCAACUGAGGAUAAAAGUGCUCUGUGUGUAUGUGUGUGCACGCGCUAAGGUUGCCAUAUUCCUAAAAAGGGGGUGGGGAUUCCCAAAGUUGUUGAACUUUUUUUGCAAAAUCUCAGAAAAACUCAAUUUCUGCCCGGAUGCUGUUUACGAGGGCUGAAUACCAGCUAUGUCUGGGAAAUUCCAGAUAUAUGGCAACCCUAGUUUGUGCAAAUUCUGAAUCUAUAAACUGUGGGCUGAUUGCUACUAACAAUGGACUCCUCUUACUAUAAACACGCAAAUUUGUUAUAAUCAGUUUAUCUGAUUACUAUAGAACUGGGAAUAUAGGGACAAAAUUUGUGUGUGUAUGCUCAAGUUUCCCAAACUUCUGAGUUUAUUUAAAGUUGUAAUUGACCCCAACCCAAAUUCUUAGGAAUGUAAAUGAAAUAAAGUCAAUAAACAGGAAUAUAUAAUCUGCAUUUAUUAAUUAGCAACUACCAUUCCUAGGAACCAUAACAUGUAAAAAGCAAGGAAGAAAACCAAGAGAAAAUAAUAAUGAUACCAUACACAUCUGUACAUGUUCAUGCCUUUUAUUUCUAAGGUUCCUAGUUCCUAGUUGUUGGUGUGUGUUUUUGCACUAUACCUUGUAAAUUUAUUUUCCACCCAAGGCCUGCUUUGAUUCCCAGGUCUUUAUUCACUCCCUGCACAGUCCCAUCAAUCCCAGUGGGUCAGUAUUGACUACUUUGGAAACCAGCUGGUUUCUGCAUGCAUGGUCACCCCUGGAGGAUUGCAGCAUCAAGUGGUGACUUGCCUAAUACCACAGCUAGAACUUUAUUUUCACCUUAUAUCACACUUUGCCUUUCAGCAGAAUAACUUCAUACAAGCAGCUGUGUUAUCUAAUCUUGAGUAAUUCAGUUAAAUAUGUGUAAGCAGUGCUUAUGGAUGUGCUAGUACUCCAUACCAGUGAGUGCUCUCUCUCUCUCUCUCUCUUUCUCUCUCUCUCACACACACACACACACGUGUGUGUAUGAGCCCUGUGUAAGAGAUGUCUUAAGAGGGAGUGGGUAAUACGGUUUCCCCCACUUUGGUUUGUUGUGCCUGCUCUAUUGCACUUGCUUUCGGUAUCAGAGAAGUCACCAUGUUUGAUGAACAGUGAAAAGAGACAAUAAUAUAUGCCUCUGGACGUCGUAAGAAAGGCAUGGUAAUAGAGGUCACCUGUGGUUAGCAGGAAUUUCUUCAAGGGUACCUAGCCCAAAACAUUUUGCUUCCAGUAGUAAAGGAGGGCACCCAUCAAUCCAUGGAUGGAAUUGAACUGGAUUAGCAUUUGAAUCUUAAUUCAACACUGGUAAUGGAACAGCAUUGUCCACAGCAUCUGAUGGGCUAGCUUAGGGGGUGGCACACACCGAUCUACCUCCCCACAUCUCACUGCUGCUGCCUGCCUCUCAGCAUCUGCUGCCUGACCUCACUCUGCCUAACAAUAGGGCCAGUCUUGCAACCUAGUGGGGAAGCUCUGUAAACUGGGUCUGUGUUUUGUUCUUACCUCUUGGAAUACCUGUAUGCCAAGAAUCUGUGGGGGUUGGUGGUGGUUGUAAAUAAUCUCUUACAUGGCAAAUCUUUAGCACAAGCAGUUUUGAGAGAAAUGGUUAAACAUCAGGAAUGUAAAGAUUUAAUGAUUCAUGAAGCAAAGUAUCACUGCCUGCCCGCCCCAAUGCAUUUGCUUUCCACUUUGAUUCUGUAGUGAUAGAGGUCUGGCCUGGAACCCAAUACCAUAUUAUGUUGUUUGGUUUGUGUCUGAGGCAGUUUAUUAUUAAUAAUAUAAACAAACCAAUUCUGCCUGCAACCUUAGUUGCUAAGCGGAGGAGUGUUUUGUCUGGAGAUGAAUAAAAGGCCAGGGAAAAAACAAGAGGGUGAGGGCCAAGAGGAGAGCGGGCCUUAAGGAGUGCUUAGCUGGUGUACUUAGCUGGAGGCCAAGGUCUCAGAAAAAGGAACUAUUCUCAAACUGGUGUUCCUGACCAGGCAAAUGGCGCUCUCUUUGGGUCAUGAAGAAAUGGUACUCAGUAGCACUAGACUGGAGGCAGCAACUCCUCACUGCUCCCCCCUUCCUCAAGAGAUAGGCCAGGAGUCGGGAAUUUGCCAUCCCCCCACCCCGAUGUUGCCAGAUUAUAAGACCCAUCACCUCCGACCAUUGGCCAUGCUGACAGGGGCUGAUGGAAGUUGGAAUCCAAUGGCAUCAAGAAGGCCACAGCUUCCCCACUCCUGCAGUGGGAAGCUCCAUAGGCACUCCUAUGAGGGACAAUUCUUUGUUAGAAGAAAGUACUGGAGUAUUAUGCUGCUUUUGUAUUAAAUCUGUAAGUUUAGAAUGAAGGCAAGCCCUCGUCCAAAUAGACAUAACUAGUUUUUCGUUAUGUUUCUAUUUUGCUGGUAAAACUAGUUAUUUUCAAUAGUUACAGAUUGUGAAAUACAGUAACAAUGCAAAAAAUACAAAAAUGUACGGCAUUUAUAAACACAUAUACCAUUGCAAAGGAUUUAUAUGGUUUGAAGUCUGUGUCAUAUUGCAUCUUCUUAAAAUGGAUGUAAAGAGAAAAAGCUCCCAAAUAAAAUGGCACCUUUUUUCUAUCUUGCUUUAAGGCAGGAAUGAAUGGGAUCCUGUUCGCAGGGUGAAUUCAAAAAUCCCUCACCCACAUGGGUCAGCUUUGACAGAUGGUCAGGACCACCCACUUGUUAAUCACCAGAGAUCAGGUUAGUGACACUUGUCAAAGUUCAAAGGAGGUAACUGUAACUGCUGAGCCGCUAACUGGAGGUUACAACAACCUCCUUUGAAGAUGCACUUUCAGCAUUAGUCAGCUGACUGGAGGCAUUCGUCUUUAAGAGGCUUGUUGUAACUGAUCUGUGGCUACAGAGAACCCCUUGGAAGCAUCUGCAGAAGGGGAAAUGCUUCAUUUUUCAUGGGAUGCUGUACUUUGAAUCCAAACUGCUUCAUCUGGAGAGGAAAAAUGCUCUAUUUAAAAUUUUUUAAAAUUGACAUUCAGAAUGAGGCACUUUUUGUUUUUACAGUAACUUUUUAUUGCUUCUUCAUCCCAGAAUCCUAGAAGUAACCUAAUACCUACAAGCACCUAGAAGACUAAAUUCAGUCUACAAUCUCCAUCUAUAGACUAGGACUUGUUCUACAAAUGGAGAAAGUGGGAGACAUGUCCUCUUGCCUUAUCCUGUUUCCCUUCCUCAAUGGCCAUAGGGAAUCCCUGUGCCAUUGAAGGAAGGCAGGAGUCAUUGAGAGAAAGGGCUUGCCCAAUUUCUGUCACUCUGAGUUCCAGGAAAGCCUUUAACAACUCCUGGGAAGCUCGCCAUUGCUCUCCUGCUGCUAGGGGGAACAAGGCCAGAGAGCUGCACUCCCCAAAACCCUGUCAUGUUCUUGAUGGAGAACUGUUGAUGGAGAGACUUCAUUUCCAAAGCACAAAAAUAACACAUCAUCAUCAUCAAACCUUUUAUUGGCAUCACAUACAACAUCCAAACAAAUCAAUACAGAAUUACCACUUCCCCAGUGGCACAAAACAUUUGCUAAAAGAAAGGAGGCAGAGCAGUCUAUCAUCACAGCAGAGCAGUCUGUCGUCACAAAAAAUAACACAACCACAAGUAUAUUAAACCACAAGUGUAAUACAACUUCUUAAAUUGUAUGUUAUUUAUGUAUUUUCUUUAUGUAUGUAUUUAUUUUUAAAUAUUUGUACAUGGAGUUUUUUAU
This is a non-coding RNA of Podarcis lilfordi (Lilford's wall lizard), 7047 nucleotides long. The record is from the annotation of a GenBank genome assembly. NCBI's taxonomy places the organism in Eukaryota, Metazoa, Chordata, Lepidosauria, Squamata, Lacertidae.